Molecule: ribosomal RNA, 253 nt
Filed under: uncultured bacterium
Lineage: Bacteria
Description: partial 16S ribosomal RNA
Rfam family: Bacterial small subunit ribosomal RNA
Source: RNAcentral
UACGUAGGGUGCGAGCGUUAAUCGGAAUUAUUGGGCGUAAAGCGUGCGCAGGCGGUUUAAUAAGUCAGUUGUGAAAUCCCUGAGCUCAACUUAGGAACUGCAAUUGAUACUGUUAAACUAGAGUACGACAGAGGGGGGUAGAAUUCCACGUGUAGCAGUGAAAUGCGUAGAGAUGUGGAGGAAUACCGAUGGCGAAGGCAGCCCCCUGGAUCGAUACUGACGCUCAUGCACGAAAGCGUGGGGAGCAAACAGG